GGAAGCGUCUGGAAUACCCCUGGAACGGACUUUUAAUCUGUAGGUCCUGGGUUCGAGUCCCAGCGCGCUCACCA
Molecule: transfer RNA, 74 nt
Filed under: Methylorubrum extorquens CM4
Lineage: Bacteria; Pseudomonadati; Pseudomonadota; Alphaproteobacteria; Hyphomicrobiales; Methylobacteriaceae
Description: tRNA-Ser
Source: RNAcentral